AGAGUUUGAUCCUGGCUCAGGAUGAACGCUAGCGGGAGGCUUAACACAUGCAAGUCGAGGGGCAGCAGGUCGGAACUUCGGUUUUGAUGCUGGCGACCGGCGCACGGGUGAGUAACGCGUAUGCAACUUACCCUGUACUGGGAGAUAACCCGAAGAAAUUCGGACUAAUAUCCCAUAAUGAUAUUUCGGGGCAUCCUGGAAUAUUUAAAGUUCCAACGGUACAGGAUGGGCAUGCGUAACAUUAGCUGGUUGGUAGGGUAACGGCCUACCAAGGCAACGAUGUUUAGGGGUCCUGAGAGGGUGAUCCCCCACACUGGUACUGAGACACGGACCAGACUUCUACGGAAGGCAGCAGUGAGGAAUAUUGGUCAAUGGGCGCAAGCCUGAACCAGCCAUCCCGCGUGCAGGAAGACAGCCCUAUGGGUCGUAAACUGCUUUUCCAGGGGAAGAAAACUUCCGACGUGUCGGAACUUGCCGGUACCCUGGGAAUAAGCAUCGGCUAACUCCGUGCCAGCAGCCGCGGUAAUACGGAGGGUGCGAGUGUUAUCCGGAUUCAUUGGGUUUAAAGGGUGCGCAGGCGGGGAUGUAAGUCAGUGGUGAAAAGCUACCGCUUAACGGUAGUCUUGCCAAUGAUACUGCAUUUCUUGAGUAUGGUUA
Molecule: ribosomal RNA, 657 nt
Filed under: uncultured bacterium
Lineage: Bacteria
Description: bacterial SSU rRNA
Rfam family: Bacterial small subunit ribosomal RNA
Source: RNAcentral